RNAcentral lists this small RNA (1929 nucleotides) under Arabidopsis thaliana (thale cress). RNAcentral describes it as "ATSL047680". Lineage: Eukaryota; Viridiplantae; Streptophyta; Magnoliopsida; Brassicales; Brassicaceae. The record is from RNAcentral.
AUUAAUAAGUUGCAAUAAGACAGUUACUGAGGAAUAAAAAUUCGGAUAGAAUAAUAAAAACUACAAAACAAAAGAUUUUGAUACAACAUUUAUCCUCAAUUAUCAUCCCAUAUACUCUUCCAUCGUUUUGAUAGAGCCAUAGUUCUCACAGCUUCGUCUAAAGGAAGUUUUAAUAUGAUUUUACCCAAAAUUUCGUUUGGGAGAUCGCUAAUGCGAUCUUUAGUGUUGUCUACAUCAACUACAACACUUCUUCCUCGUGUAUCAGACGAUGAUUGAAAUAUAUUUUUUUGUGAAGAAGAAAGAAAAGAAAAGUGAAAAUAUUUCUUACUUUAGAUUAUUCAUAGGUAGGAAGAACAUGAGAUGAGAAGGUUUAUAUGUACAUGAGGUAGUUUGUAGUUAAUUACGAGGAGAUAAGAUAAACUAAAUAUAGACCAUACAAUAUAUUUGGGUUGUUGUAAGAAAAUAAAAACCAAAUCAAGUAAGAAUAAUUAUGAUUCCAUUUAAACAAUUUGUAUUCCUUUCACACUCAAAAUUAGGAAAAAAGUUAACACUUUCCAACCUAAAAUAUAUAGGGAAAAUUGGCUAUAAAGGAUAGAUACAACAACUUUUGUCCAUAUAUACCUUUUUUGUAGAUUGGUAAGAAAGAUUUGAGAAAAUAAAUACGAGUAUGCAGAAUAAAUUGAUACACAUAAUUGUAAUGAGGUUUGGUCUUACAAACUAUAUCCAUGGAAUUAGAACCCGUCCAAAAACAAAACAAAUAUAAACAAAAGUAAUUACACAAUUGCAAACGCAUAAAUUAAAUCCACCUGCUCUGAUCUACCACUAAGCUAAAUUACAUCUGAAUUUAUAGUUUAGUCAUGUUUUGAAUAGGAGCAAGCACCUUUUUAGCCUAUUAUGAAUAGGAAGAGUUACAAAUUAUGUCCAACUUGACGUUAUUUGUAUUUAAUUUUCUUGAAUUUCCAUUCUUGUAUCAUCUUCUACCAUCUUCUAGAAGGAGAUAUCUUGCUCUUAAAGGAAUUAUCCAACAUCACUUGUCGAUGGACUUGCUACUGAAGCUACAAGAACAUGGCAUGCUCGGUUAUGUCAUAUUGGAGUUGAUUCACAGAGAAGAUGUUGGAGAAGUACAUGAAGAAGAUGAUGUCAUGGAGGAUAUCACUAAAAAAACCACGAGAAUGAGGUUGGUGAAGUAAUCCAAGGAGUACCACAACUGAGAAGGUCGGGUCGACAAGUAAGUCAGUCGCGGUACCUUGAAGACUAUGUUAUGCAGUCCCAAACAACUUAUAGAUUGUUCAAACAAGCUUAUGUUAAAAGUAAGAGACGUCAACUUUCGACAAGUAAUGAGCCAAGAGGCUAAAGAUGUGCUUUAAUGGUGGAAAGCAUGUGAAGAGGAGUUUGAAUCAGUCAACAAGAACGAGAUGGUUCUUUGUUGACAUAUUGAUUCAAGUUUCUAAUCGGUUUAAAAGCUUUUCAAGAGUUUGUAGAGAAGCAAGUCUGCUUGUCUAUUAAAACCUUUCGUACCCAUAAAGGAGGAGAGUUUACUUCAAGGGAGUUCAAUCGAUGUUGCAUAGAGGAGGAAUCUCUAGGUAUCUAAUGAAGAUUCUAAAUGAUAUGUGGGGAGAAGUCGUACGUCAUUCAAAGAUCAUGGGACUACAUCUAGAGAAACUAGAUGAAGAGUCAAGAAGUAUAAUCACGAGGAUGCAUCUCAAGAAGGUAGAUGAUUGGUCAAUCUUGGAACCAAGUCAGAUUUUAGAGAUGUUUAAACCAAGUUGGGUUUUAUUAGAGAAUAUCAAAACAAGCAAGGUCAUGGUAUUUGGGUGUUUUGUACUAGUCCUUGAAAUACAAGUAAUAUUUAGCUAAGAAACCUGAAAUGAUUAUGAUACAUUGCAACACACCGAAAUUUAAUUAGCCCACGAUAUAUCAUAAACAAAU